RNAcentral lists this ribosomal RNA (466 nucleotides) under uncultured bacterium. RNAcentral describes it as "partial 16S ribosomal RNA". It matches the Rfam family "Bacterial small subunit ribosomal RNA", at positions 28 to 505 of the family's 1533-position model. The record is from RNAcentral.
GACGAACGCUGGCGGCGUGCUUAACACAUGCAAGUCGAACGGAAAGGCCCUGCUUUUGUGGGGUGCUCGAGUGGCGAACGGGUGAGUAACACGUGAGUAACCUGCCCUUGACUUUGGGAUAACUUCAGGAAACUGGGGCUAAUACUGGAUAGGAGCUCCUGCUGCAUGGUGGGGGUUGGAAAGUUUCGGCGGUUGGGGAUGGACUCGCGGCUUAUCAGCUUGUUGGUGGGGUAGUGGCUUACCAAGGCUUUGACGGGUAGCCGGCCUGAGAGGGUGACCGGCCACAUGGGGACGGAGAUACGGCCGAGACUCCUCCGGGAGGCAGCAGGGGGGAAUAUUGCACAAUGGGCGGAAGCCUGAUGCAGCAACGCCGCGUGCGGGAUGACGGCCUUCGGGGUGUAAACCGCUUUCGCCUGUGACGAAGCGUGAGUGACGGUAAGGGGUAAAGAAGCACCGGCUAACUACG